RNAcentral lists this transfer RNA (247 nucleotides) under Metarhizium anisopliae. RNAcentral describes it as "tRNA-Ile". Lineage: Eukaryota; Fungi; Ascomycota; Sordariomycetes; Hypocreales; Clavicipitaceae. The record is from RNAcentral.
AGUAAAAUAAUUAAAAAUUAAAAAUUAAAAUUAAUAUUAUAUAAUUUUUAUUUUAUAUUAAAAUAAUUUAAAUAAUUAUUUUUUUAUAUAUUAGGAUUUUUUUUUAUAUAUAUAUUAAUAUUAUUAUUUAUUUUAUAUAUAUAUAUAUAAUUAAUAUAUAUUAAAUUUAUAUAUAUUUAUAAAAUUUAUAUAAGCUUAAUAUUUAAUAAAUAUAUUUAAAUUAGGUUUUAAAAUUAUUAUUUUAUUA